Molecule: ribosomal RNA, 545 nt
Filed under: Apodospora sp. GSH5_5_14
Lineage: Eukaryota; Fungi; Ascomycota; Sordariomycetes; Sordariales; Lasiosphaeriaceae
Description: eukaryotic LSU rRNA
Rfam family: 5.8S ribosomal RNA (bases 179-332)
Source: RNAcentral
CGAUCGGGUCUCCGUUGGUGACCAGCGGAGGGAUCAUUAAAGAGUUGCAAAACUCCCACAAACCAUCGCGAACCGUACCGAUUCACCGUUGCUUCGGCGGGUUCGCCCGCCGAAGUAGCGAUCCCCAAACUCUUUAUAAUUAUUUGGCCUCUCUGAGUAAGAUUUAUAAAUAAGUCAAAACUUUCAACAACGGAUCUCUUGGUUCUGGCAUCGAUGAAGAACGCAGCGAAAUGCGAUAAGUAAUGUGAAUUGCAGAAUUCAGUGAAUCAUCGAAUCUUUGAACGCACAUUGCGCCCGCUAGUAUUCUGGCGGGCAUGCCUGUUCGAGCGUCAUUUCAACCAUCAAGCCCUCUCGCUUGUGUUGGGGUCCUGCGGCUACCCGCAGGCCCUGAAAACCAGUGGCGGGCUCGCUAGUCACUCCGAGCGCAGUAAUACAUUCUCGCUCAGGGCGUGCGGCGGGUUCUUGCCGUUAAACCACCACUUUUAUACCAAAGGUUGACCUCGGAUCAGGUAGGAAUACCCGCUGAACUUAAGCAUAUCUAACGG